UGGAACCAAUCAAUUCAUUCAUGGCUGGUCUCUCCUUACUACUACGCUGGCGAAGAAGGUACUGCAUCUUCUCCAAGGUUCUUUCUGCUCGACUAAUCCAUGCAUAGCUUUGUCCAACACUUUUGAGCUAGGAUACGGGCCUGCAGCUUCCAUUCGGCCGGCGAUCAAGGUGAUAAGGGCAGCCCCUACGAUAAGCCUUUCACUCGCCUGUUAUUUCUCUGAAUCCUACCCAUACCAUUCAUUUACUGUUUUCACCAGAGUAGGCUGAGCAGGACGCGUACUGGGAGGGAGGGACUACUGGCUUCUUGGCAAGGGAGCCAUCAUGUGAGCUGAUGAUGGUGAUCGCCGUCGUCCUCGCCGUCACCUCCUCUGCGUCCAUCUGCCCGGCGCUGGCUGCUGCACCGCCCAUGAUUGCGCCGGAUGGAGGAGAAAAGCCGGUGUUGGAGGCGCAGACAUGCCAUGGUAGGCUUCCUUUCUUACCCACAUCCCCAUGCCGCCCGUCGCCAUCAGGGCCUUUGACAAUCAUUCUCAUACGCCUCCUCCGGUGACACCGAAAACAUGGCCUUCAAUCUGCAGGUGUACACACACGCCUCGAAACCUACUACUGAGGGGGAGGGAUGGUGUCGGAGGGUAGCGUCUUGGCUGCAUUGCAGUUUGCAAACCGCCGUAUCGAUCAUUUGCUCAUGGCAAGCUAGCUAAGCUCGGCGGAAAAGGCGUGAAAUCAAUUCAAACGGGCACCAAGGACGGGCUCCAUUAGGGAGGGAGGACUGGAGAGCUGGAGGCGAAUCGAAAAAGCCUGCGGCGUACAGGCUCCAUUAGGGAGCGAGGACUGGAGCUGGAGGGAGGAGGAGCGAGAAAGCCUGCGGCGUACAGGCUGUCUUACAUGGGUAAGACACAUGGGGGCGUGGCCCGUAUCAUUUGAUGAUCCCUCCACCUCCCCUCGCUCUCUGAAUC
This 954-nucleotide long non-coding RNA is filed under the name Setaria italica (foxtail millet). RNAcentral's name for it is "long non-coding RNA (SITA_LNC000351)". The record is from RNAcentral. Lineage: Eukaryota; Viridiplantae; Streptophyta; Magnoliopsida; Poales; Poaceae.